CAGCUUUGGAUACAUCUGCUUUAGACAAGUUUGUUCAAGUAUCAUGAGCCGAUGAUGCAGAGCGCUUUGGUACAAGUAUCUUUCGGCACAUUAUACUGGCAGUUAAAGUCGGCUUUGGCCUCUACCUCUGUACAGUAUGUAUAAUCAGUGCGUCAAUCUCUGAUUCUGAGGAGGUUCAUUUUUCGGAUGGUUUUGGUCACAGGCACUCGAAAUACUAGUUGAUGGCUAUGUUUACUUUAGUUUUUACUUAUGUUCCAUGUAUGCUACAGAGAUGUUC
This 277-nucleotide long non-coding RNA is filed under the name Eucalyptus grandis. RNAcentral describes it as "long non-coding RNA (EGRA_LNC006703)". The record is from RNAcentral. Lineage: Eukaryota; Viridiplantae; Streptophyta; Magnoliopsida; Myrtales; Myrtaceae.